Molecule: ribosomal RNA, 373 nt
Filed under: Salmonella enterica subsp. enterica serovar Montevideo str. 316111868
Lineage: Bacteria; Pseudomonadati; Pseudomonadota; Gammaproteobacteria; Enterobacterales; Enterobacteriaceae
Description: bacterial SSU rRNA
Rfam family: Bacterial small subunit ribosomal RNA
Source: RNAcentral
UAGGGGAUGACGUCAAGUCAUCAUGGCCCUUACGACCAGGGCUACACACGUGCUACAAUGGCGCAUACAAAGAGAAGCGACCUCGCGAGAGCAAGCGGACCUCAUAAAGUGCGUCGUAGUCCGGAUUGGAGUCUGCAACUCGACUCCAUGAAGUCGGAAUCGCUAGUAAUCGUGGAUCAGAAUGCCACGGUGAAUACGUUCCCGGGCCUUGUACACACCGCCCGUCACACCAUGGGAGUGGGUUGCAAAAGAAGUAGGUAGCUUAACCUUCGGGAGGGCGCUUACCACUUUGUGAUUCAUGACUGGGGUGAAGUCGUAACAAGGUAACCGUAGGGGAACCUGCGGUUGGAUCACCUCCUUACCUGAAAGAAGC